This 747-nucleotide ribosomal RNA is filed under the name Staphylococcus haemolyticus. RNAcentral describes it as "bacterial SSU rRNA". It matches the Rfam family "Bacterial small subunit ribosomal RNA", at positions 56 to 786 of the family's 1533-position model. Lineage: Bacteria; Bacillati; Bacillota; Bacilli; Caryophanales; Staphylococcaceae. The record is from RNAcentral.
UGCAGUCGAGCGAACAGAUAAGGAGCUUGCUCCUUUGACGUUAGCGGCGGACGGGUGAGUAACACGUGGGUAACCUACCUAUAAGACUGGAAUAACUCCGGGAAACCGGGGCUAAUGCCGGAUAACAUAUAGAACCGCAUGGUUCUAUAGUGAAAGAUGGUUUUGCUAUCACUUAUAGAUGGACCCGCGCCGUAUUAGCUAGUUGGUAAGGUAAUGGCUUACCAAGGCGACGAUACGUAGCCGACCUGAGAGGGUGAUCGGCCACACUGGAACUGAGACACGGUCCAGACUCCUACGGGAGGCAGCAGUAGGGAAUCUUCCGCAAUGGGCGAAAGCCUGACGGAGCAACGCCGCGUGAGUGAUGAAGGGUUUCGGCUCGUAAAACUCUGUUAUUAGGGAAGAACAUAUGUGUAAGUAACUGUGCACAUCUUGACGGUACCUAAUCAGAAAGCCACGGCUAACUACGUGCCAGCAGCCGCGGUAAUACGUAGGUGGCAAGCGUUAUCCGGAAUUAUUGGGCGUAAAGCGCGCGUAGGCGGUUUCUUAAGUCUGAUGUGAAAGCCCACGGCUCAACCGUGGAGGGUCAUUGGAAACUGGGAAACUUGAGUGCAGAAGAGGAAAGUGGAAUUCCAUGUGUAGCGGUGAAAUGCGCAGAGAUAUGGAGGAACACCAGUGGCGAAGGCGACUUUCUGGUCUGUAACUGACGCUGAUGUGCGAAAGCGUGGGGAUCAAACAGGAUUAGAUACC